AUUAUUUGACUUGACAAUCAGAGUGCAGAGGCUGUACAGAGACCAGCAAAGCAGAGACAUUUCCACAAUGCAAGCAGGAAUAAAUAGGAUAUACGCAUUCACAGAAUGGCUGAGGCAGAAACUGGGCUUCCUCAGUUUAACAACUGGGCAUGACGAGUACAUGGAGGAACAUGAACAGAACCAAGAAGUGCCUGAGAGGGAUGGGGUUUCACAUGAAGAAAGACAUGCACAACAUUCAUCAAACAUGCCUCAGGGAUCUAUUUUGUAGCUGUGUUGAUCUGAGACAAAGAGAAAUGCAAAACUCUAAAACUUUUGUUGAUUCAGAGAUGAUACCUUUUAUUAAACCAACUAAAUAUAGCAAAAAA
This is a long non-coding RNA of Alligator mississippiensis (American alligator), 365 nucleotides long. RefSeq lists it as uncharacterized. The record is from RefSeq and is a predicted model, not a curated record. The transcript has 4 exons. NCBI's taxonomy places the organism in Eukaryota, Metazoa, Chordata, Crocodylia, Alligatoridae.